Molecule: long non-coding RNA, 12857 nt
Organism: Panthera uncia (snow leopard)
Lineage: Eukaryota; Metazoa; Chordata; Mammalia; Carnivora; Felidae
Exons: 2
Source: RefSeq, a predicted model, not a curated record
GGGGUCCGGCUGUGUGUCAAGCUCUCAGCUGCAGAGAGGGAAGUUCUGUGAGCCUGCACACUGUGCUCUACCCAUCCUAAUCCUGGUUUCUUUACCCAUCAGGAAAGUGAGGCUUAAGAAGUAUGUCAGCCCAAGUUCACACAACUAGCAAGUGUGAAACCAGUAUUUAUGCUUGGCCCUCCGACUCCAAAGCCCAAGAGCUUUAUCCUGCUGUGGGACUCUCUUCCUAGGCCUUCCAGAAAAGAACUUGGGAGACUAUUGUGAUCCAAUAAAGUGGCACUGGUGCUGUGGCAUUUCUGCUAGUCCUUAGCCAUGAACUUUGGCCUUUGACUGUGCUGUCCAGGGAUUUUUGCCUCCAUCGCUGCUUCGCUCAGGUUUUAUCAUCACAGAGUCAUCACCAUGUCCCAUCCCGGUGACUCACUAUGCAAAGCCUGGUGUUCUACUCACAGACUUACCUUGUUUGUCAAAGGUUUGUGGUCACUGACAAGUGUUAUUAGAUAACCUGAAGAUAGCUAAACACCCUGCCACAGGUGCUGGCCCUUUACCUAAAGGAUUCCCCGAAUCACUUCUUGUCCAACUCCAGUUGCCUCUGUUCUUGACUUUGGUAUCUGUCCCAGUUCUGCAUUUAAUGAUUCAUUUUGAAACCUGAAUCUUAGCAUGAGCCAUUUAGACUGGAGUCUGGCAUUCCAUCUCCACCACUUCCUAUGGCCACAGUGUGUGAGAGGCAUUUCUACUUCCUGCUGUACGCUGUAGGCCAACCAGCCAGGUUGUGUCCUGCCUGUUGUCUCUGCCGGUGGAAGGAGACUAAAAAUUAUUCUAGAGACUGGCUUGCUUCUUGACGCCUCCAAGUGUCUAAACUUAGUGACUUGCUUGAAAUCAAUAGACUACAGCAGAGAUAAUAAGAUGUCACUUCCAUGAUUUAAUUCUAAAUGAUUGUGACUCCUGUCUUGUUAGUAAACUCUCUCUUCCUAGUUUUAAUGAAGCAAGCUGCCAUGUUGGACAGGCCUAUGUGGCAAGGAACUGAGGGUGGCCUCUAGCCAUCUGCCAACUAGGAAAUGAGGCCUUUAGUCUAAGUCCUCAAGGCAGUGAAUCCUACUAACAACCACAUGAAUGAGCUUAGAAGCCAUUCUUUCCCCAGUUGAGUCUUCAGAUGAGACUGUAGACCCUAGGCCAACACCUUGACUGCAGCCUUGUGAGAGACCAUGAAGCAGAGGAUUCAACUGAGCUGCGCCUGGAUUCCUGACCCUCAGAAACUGAGAUAAUAAAUGUAUGUGGUUUGAAGGCACUAAAUUUUGAUAUAAUUUGUUACUCAACACGAAAUAACUAAUAUAGUGUGUAUGUGGUUUUUGUUUUAUGCUCUCCACCAAGAGAUGAAUGUACAAUGAAACUAGAGAAACUUACAUUUCUGGGCCCCUCACUUGCAUAAGCCCCUUGCAUGGCCCUGGGAGAGUCCCUAGCAAUGUGUUCAUGUAGUCAUAUGUUUUUGUAAAAUUUACAGAAAACAUUUUAACUGUAAUCAGGGCAGGGUCUUCUUACUGCUUCAGCUCUCCCUCCCUCAUACUUCCUCUUUUUUUUUUUAAUGUUUAUGUAUUUUUGAGAGAGGGAGACAGAAUACGACCAGGGGAGGGGCAGAGUGAGGGAGGGAGACACAGAAUCCGAAGCAGGCUCCAGGCUCUGAGCUGUCAGCACAGACCCCAACACAGGGCUCGAACCUACAAACCGUGAGAUCAUGACCUAAGCCAAAGUCGGCCAUUUAACCGACUGAGACACCAAGGCGCCCCCAUCAUACUUCCUCUUGAGUCUGCUGGUGUGGGAAUGAUUGGGGUAUUUUGAGGAUAUGACUAAGGGGAAGUUGACUUGGAGAUCCAGUUAGUGGGAUUUCAGGGAUAUAUUCAUGUUGCUAGCUAGUCGUUUUUGUGGAAAGUCAUGUUGUUGCCAGGCUGGUACUUGGCAGAGUUAGGAUUCAACCUAGGGUUCAUCUUAUGAACUUAACACAAGUCUGGGUUAUACUUAAUCUAUAUACUUAUACUAAUCUUAUACUUAAGAUUAUACUGGAUUCUUACACUUAAAGGCAUGAGAGUCUGUCCUCAGAUAUUUGCUUUGUUUGACACUCUUUCCCACCUUUCUGCCUGGUCUGUUACCCUAGUCUUAUCACCUAUUGCCACCAUCCAUGUACCCUUUGCUUCAUCCAUUGAACUCUUGUCUUUGCUAGGCGUGCUUGUGCUCAUACUUCUCUCCAGCCCGAAAUGGCAUCUCCCAAGUACAUCUAUGUAGAUUCUUACUAAGUUUUUGCUGUCUUGAUAUAAAACAUUGACAUAUGCCACUAUAAGAAUAUUGGUGGCAAACUGGAUAAUGAGUGUUGUCAAUUCAAAGAAUAAGAUGACACACUGAACAAGAAAACUUGAAAGUCCCUGAAAUUAUAUAUAGCUCCUGUACAAAAUGAACUUGAUAGUUUUCUCCAAAUUUGGGAAAAAUUCAACAAUACAUGACAUUACAAAUAAUGAAUUGUGAAGCUGAGCUGGAGAAGUUGAAAGUGACUUUUCUAAACUGUCAAUGAAAAGCAAGUUUGUUUUUGUUUUUUUGUUUUUUUUAAGUUCAUUUAUUUAUUUUUGAGAGAGAGACAGCAUGAAUAGGGGAGGGGCAGAGAAAGAGAGAAAGAGAGAGAGAGAGAAUCCCAAGCAGGCUCUGCACUGUCACCACAAGCCCAGUGCAGGUCCCAAACUCACGAAACCGUGAGAUCAUAACCUGAACCAAAACCCAUAGUCCCAACACUUAACUGACUGAGCCACUCAGGCACCGUGAAAAGCAAGCUUUGAUCAAACAUGGUAGAGGAAAGACUAAAUUAUCCUUUUUUUUUUCUAUAAAAAAGUAUUUCACAAAUUUAUUGUUAUACAAAGUAGCAACCAGACAGUGCGUGGACCAAAAAAUGUGGGGAAAAAAUGUUAUAGAGAUAUGUCAGACAGUUUAUGAAAAUAUGUAAUUUUUCUGGGUUUUAUGAUUCUUGUAUUUCUAAAGUUUACAUGUUUUUUUAAAAUUUUUUAACAUUUAUUUAUUUUUGAGAGAGAGACACACAAAGCAUGAGCAGAGGAAGGUCAGAGAAAGAGAGAGAGACAGAAUCUGAAGCAGGCUCCAGGCUCUGAGAUGUCAGCACAGAGCCUGACGCAGGGCUCGAACUCACGAACCAUGAGAUCAUGACCUGAGCUGAAACUGGAUGCUUAACCGACUGAGCCACCCAGGCGCCCCUAUAUAGUUUUCAAUUUGUUGUGAUUUUCUUCCUUAUUUUAAGGAAACUAAUCUUGUGUGAAGUUGGAGUUUUAUGUUCUUUGGUGUAAGAGGGACACAAAAUUGCAUAAGCUUCAGGGUUCACCAAGCCUGGAUCUAUUCCACUUCUUAUCAAGUAGGGAAAAAAAUUCCUUGAUAUAGAGAUCAGAAAAUUCCUUCUUCUUACUAUUCUUUUUUUUUUUUUUAACUUUUUUUUUAAAGUUUAUUUAUUUAUUUAGAAAGAAAAGAACAAUGCAAGUGGGGAAGAGGCAGAGAGAGAGGAAGAGAGAAUCCCAAGUAGGUUCUGCACUGCCUUCACAGAGCCCAACAUGGGGCUCGAACUCACGAACCAUGAGAUCAUGACCUGAGCUGAAAUCAAGAGUCGAUGCUUAACUGACUGAGCCACCCAGUGCCCCCUUCCUACUUUUCCACCUCUGAGUCCAUCUGUAUCUUACAUAGCCUUAAUAGGGCUCAAAAAUUUUUAUCUGAAUUAAAUUCAACUAAAAAUGUUUUGGUUUUGAGGAGAGAAGGCAGAAGAAAACAUGACCAAAAAUAUCUUCUGUCUGAAGGGUAGGUGGAUGGAGGGGAAAGUAGAAAAUCCUGUGUAAAUUAAGAAGGUUCCCAGAAUUAGAACCUCAGGUGGAAGUUCUAUUCAGAGACACUUCAGUUAUUUGAGAGAAAACGCUAAUAGUUGACCAUAUAUCAAGGACCCUGCCUGGGCAGGCAGGUAGAUUUCAUGACAUCUGAAGUGUCCUCUUUCAACACCUGGGUGGUGACAGUAGCAGUUCAGGCCCAACUAGAGGAGCUGUACCUAGAGACUGGACUUGGCAUUGGGGCAGGGUAGAGACUGGGGGACAGACUCUAGGGUAAAUCUAGCCCAGCAGGCAGAUCCCUGGCCCUUAAAUAGUGUCAGGGAGAUCUUGUAAGGAGUGGCUUCUCCACACUUCCCUGCUGGGCAGGUCACUAUGACCGCUGUGAGGCUCAGGCAAAACAGAAGGCUGGCCUGAAGAAGGGGAUAGUGCAGAAAGGAGCAAAGUGCAAUGCCAGACUCUGGGGGAACCAGAUGGAAUCCUGUGGUUCAAGAGCAGCUUCCGGGCCUGACUUGUGGUCUUGUUGACAAUACAAGUCCCGCUGGCACUUAGGCUUUCUGGUUAUUUGCCUCCCGUCAGGGGUAUGACCGAGUGACCGCAGCCAAAUAUUUAAUAAUAUCUCAUUAAACAUAGUUCGGCAUUCUGAAAUUUCAGUUAUUUACUGGUUGCUCUGCAUGGCAGUUCUCUCUUCCUUAACAUAAGGGCGGCUUCUUGAGGCCAUCAGAAACAAUAGGCUUAAGAGGAAGGCAAUGUCCUUCAUCUGAUCUUUGUCAGUAUGCUGGCUCUCAUGCUUCUCGCUCCUUACGCUAGCUGAGAAAUACUAAUAGGAAGCUCUUGAGCAAGGCUUGGGGCCCCAACCAUUUCUGACUCUCAGUCCCAAUGUGGAUGGCAGAUCACAGUCUGAGAAAGCCUCUCUUAUAGCAGGGCUGUAUUCCUUGGCGUCUCAAAAGAUAAUUAACUGUUUAAACAAAAACAAUAAUGAUGUAUUAGGAGGUUUAUAAUAUAAGUAAAAGUAAAAUGCAUGAAAACAACAGCAUAAAGACUUGGAGGGGAGAAAUGGAAGUAUGCUACUGUAUGAUUCUUAUAUGAUAUGUGAAAUGGUAUAAUAUCACUUCAUGGUAGAUUGUGAUAAGAUAUAUGCAAUAAACCCAGGGUGCCUGGGUGGUGGCUCAGUUGGUUAAGUAUCCGACUUCGGCUCAGGUCAUGAUCUCACAGUUUUUGAGUUCAAGUCCUGCGUUGGGCUCUGCGCUGACAGCUCGGAGCCUGGACCUGCUUCAGAUUCUGUGUCUCCCUCUCUCUCUGUCCCUCCCCUGCUCAUGCUCUGUCUCUCUCACUCUCAAAAAUAAAUAGUUAGAAAAAAAAAUUAAUUAACAAAGAGAGAUGUUAAGGGAGACAAGACUUUGAGAUCUUAGGCCCUGUGCUAUAAACCACACUUGCCUGAGCAAAAUUAGUCCCAGUGCUACCCAAGACCCUGCACAGGGUGGAUCCUGAAAAGUACAUUGCUUGUCCCUGGGGACUUGGGAGGAGGCUUAUGGUUAGUUUGAGAUAAGUGGAGAUUGGUGGAUUGUUCCUCAAACUUUAUUGCUAAGAGGUUUAAGGUAUCUAGAAAUUCUAGGAAUCAAAAAAGUGGAAUUCUAGGAAUCAAGAAAUCUUUUGGAUAGUGUGUUCAUUCCACUGAAGAGGUCCACUCUAAUGUGGCCAAAUUCUGACCCAUUGAUAACAUAUCAAGGCCAGCAGGUGACAGAAUUGCUGUAUACCUAGCACUGACUCAUUUUUGGUGAUAUUCCAUAGACAGCUACCCUCCACUCCUGGCCAAAGAAGACAGUCUUUGCCUGUUAAAAUGUGAAAGGAUCUGGUGCCAACAUGUUCCCUUUUGUUCUCUCUCGAAGCUGCCAGGGAUGUGGGUGGCUCUUACCUCUGUGUCCACUACUUCUAUGCCCACACUGCUCUCUCAAAGAAGUUUUAUGUGUACACACUGGUGUAAGAGCAUUUUGUGUGCUACAUCAAACUACAUCACCAUGAGGUCAUAUUUUAACUUUCAUACGCAGAUGAGUUUAAGCUACCCCUCAAAUGUUCCCCAGGUGUUUUUGGGAAUGCCCAGGGUUGCUUUGGAACCAGUCUAUUCACAUUCUCCUAUUCAGUGAAGGAGUUUCUGUGGAUGGUGCCCUCAUGACAACAGUGAGGACUACAUACAGACUAUCUUGGGGUGCCCCUUCCACUCAUCUCCACCAGAAUGAGCAACAGUUCCAUGUGCAGAGAAUUUUUAAACCAUGGUCAGGCAACACACACACACACACACACACACACACACACACACAUUCCAAAACAAAACAAAACAAAAUAGGAUUUCUCAUAAGAGAACAAGCUCUGAAGAGAUAUGACUAUGCAAAAGCAUAGACAUCCUCUUACAUUAUAAUAAGCAAUUUAGCUCAAACAUUUCCUGAUUAAAAUUUACAUAACAUUAAUGAACUAGGCAAGUGGUUUCCUGAAAACUAGGAAGAUUCCGAGUCUUCACUUACUGCAAAACAGAAAACUGUUCCCAGCUUUGAAAUGAUAGUUUACAAGUUUUUGUUUUUCUGCCUUCUACCCAGCUCUGGGUAGCCUCCUCCAGCAGUCUCUCAAAGAAGGCAUCUCCUCCCAAGCACUUCGUAUGGGUCUGGGAACUCAGCCUGAACCAUCAGCAGAAACCUUGUUACUCCUCAGCACCUGCUCUAGGUAUUCCUACUGCCAUCUCCUAGGGCUGCAAGGUCUCUAUUAUUCCAGAAUAAUCCAUGAAAGGAAGUGCCUUGGUGAGAUCUGCGUGCUUGUGCUCAACUUUAGUUUGUAGCGCCUAGGUAGAACGCAUCCAUCUGCUGGGUGUGGCCUGUGCUAGGAUCUGAGAGCUACAGAAAUGAACAAGGUAGAACAGGGUGUCAUUCCACAAGUUAUUUGCUCACUGCAAAGGGAAAUAUCUGCUGAUCAGCACUUUAACCAUGCAGUCCAACCUAGUUACUAAGAGUGGGAUGCCUGAUGUGUGCAUUCUGAUGAGAUGCUCUAUGACAUAGAAAGCAUCACCUGUGAAAUAACUUUACCAAAAAGUUUUAACCUAAACCAUCCAACUUCGGUAUUUAAUAGGAAACACAGGUGGUAGAAGAAAACAUUAAACUGCAUCACACACACACACACACAAACACAAUUAGACAGUGGAACAUUCUGUAAGACAUAUGGCCUGCAUUUUUCAAAAAGUCAGUAUAAUAAAUAAUAAAAAUAAUUGAGGGAUUGUUUUACAUUAAAAGAAGCUAAAGAGAAAUAACCUAAUACAAUGUAUAAACCUUGAUUAGAUCCUACUUGAAUAAAACAAAACAAAAUCUAGUUGUAAAAGACAUUUUGGGGAUAGUUUGGGGAAAUUAAAAUUAGAAUUAGAAUUAGGUAAUGUUAGUGCUUGCUUUGGUAGCACAUGUACUAAAAUUGGAAUGAUACAGGGAAGAUUAUCAUGGCCUCUGUGCAAGGAUGACAUACAAAUUCAUGAAGUGUUCCAUACUAAAAAAAAAAAAAGAAUUAUAAUGUUAGGAAAUUAUUUUUAUUAUUGGUAAUCUCAUUAUGGUUAUAUAGGUGAAUGUCCUUAUUUUUAGGAGAUGCAUGCUGAAAUAAUUAGUAGUGAAGUGUCUGGAUGUAUAACUUAUUUUCAGAUUGUUCAGAAAAAAAGGCAAAAAUGUGAACAACUAAUGAAUAUAAAUGAAAUUCAUUCUAUCAUCCAUGUCAACUUUUUGAUUCAAUAGUUUGACAAUUUUCUUAAUCAAGUUGAAGAAAAGAAGAAAUAGAACAUUAACCCCACCAAGUUUUCUUUCAUUCCUUAUGAACUAAGUGUUUUGGUUUUUAAUGUAUUUGUUGUUUUUGUUGUUGUUACUGCUAUCAAGAAUAGCUACUGGAGUGCCCACAGGGGCGGCAGCAGGAGCCAGGGUUCCAUGGAAAAGUGCAGUUGCAUUCUCAGCUCCAGCUGGUUCAACCAUUAACUAGGUGGUGUAGGGCAGAGAAGAAAACCCUUUCCUUCUACUCUUCUAAGUUCUUGGCUGGAGCCUCUAUUACAAAAGACUGAUGAAUAAGAGAAAACCAAAAACCAAAAAAGUUGAUUAACAUGUGUAUCUCAUAUAUAUGGGAGAAACUCAGGGAAAAGUAACUCAAAGAGGUGGCUAGAACUUGAGCUUAAAUACCAUCGUUAGCUAAAACAAAGGAAGUGUGGGGAGGCAAGUUAUGGGAAAAUGACCAGGAAGAGUACAGUCAAUAAGGAUAAGGUUUAUUAAUAUAUAUUUAAGUCAGUGCCUUCUCUAUUGGUAAGUCUCUUGUGAUCUAAAGUCUUCCUUCUCUUUCUGGUACACCCUUACAAAUGGAGAUUUCCUUUAUAAAUGUAAAUUGCCCUUAUAAAAUGGUAACUUCUACCCUGCUUUCAGAGUUUCUUCUGUGUCUGCUGUUUCUCAAAAAACAUGAGCUCAAAAUAAACCUUAAACCAAAGAGACAUAUUUGGGGUGGCAUAUUCUGGUAUUUUUUUCAUGCUUAUUUAUUUAUUUUGAAAGAGAGAGAGAGAGAGAGGACAUAAGCGAGUGUGCACAUGAGCAGGGGAGAGGCAGAGAGAGCGGGAGAGAGAGAACCACAAGCAGCCUCCAUGCUGUCAGCAUGGAGCCCAAUGCAGGGCUCAGUCCCACAAACUGUGAGAUCCUGACUUGAGCUGAGAUCAAGAGUCAAUGCUCAACUGACUGAGCCACCCAGGCACCCCCAUAUUCUGGUCUCUUACAUUGGUCCUUGCUCUGGACUUCAGUCAGCUCCCCUUUACAUGUCAUUCACUGUGCUCAAGCUUUAUAAGCAUGAUUUCAUUAAAAACAAGCCCACAAACAAGCAAAUUAUGCCUGUCUUCAGGAAGCUGAUAAUCUACUAAGGAGGUCUUUCAUCAACAACCUGUAAACCAAGGAGGAAGAAAAUCAGUAUCAUGACAGGUGAAUCCAGAAAGAGCCAUUAAUCCUCUUGGAGGAUUUGAGAGGGAUUUAUGGAAGAGGAAGCUUUUGACUCCCCCUUGAAGGAUUUUGGUAAGUGGGAGCAGGGGGAGGAGGCAUUCUUGGAUGGAGGGCCAGAUGAGCAAAGGUCCAGAUUGUUAAAAGUGCUGGUUAAUGUAGCAAAACCACGUUGUCAGGUACCCGUUUUGGAACUGGAGAGUCUGGGAGUUUUGUAAUUAUUAGCGAGGUUGAACACUUUGUCCCAGGUUCAUGUUCUGCUCCUCCAUUUACAUUUUGUAUAUUUGAUCUUGGUUCUAGAACUUGUCCUUAGAGCUUGGUCCUAGAGCUUGAUGUUUCUCUAGUUCUGUGACUCACAAAAAGGUCUUCUCUUUUGUUGUCUCCAAAAGAAAAUGUUUGCCUAGCAGAGGUGCUUUGAUUUUAGACACUCCUGAUGAGUAUUCAGGUGUUUGGCCUUCCUAUCCUUAUUUGAUUCAAGAUAAUUUGAAAAGAAGAGAAAGGAAUUCUUGAGCCACAAAGCCCAAAUCAUGGUUUUUCACAAUUGCUCCAGAUGGAGCAAGAAGUUCUGAAGCACAACAAUGGUAAAUGAUGUUAUGUAAAGCUGUUAUUUUUUAAUUCCAAAGUUAUUUUUGUUACUAACUACAGAUUUAAUAAAAUACUGGCCAACUAUUGAUGGUGUGUCUUAAUUAAAAAGUAGAGAGCACAGGUUUGGGAAUUAAGCUAACUUGGGUUGGAAUCUUGGCUCUCCAUUUAUUAGCUGUGAGCCCAGGGAUGAGUGACUUAGCUUCUCCGAGAUUCAAUUUUAUCUGUAAAAUGUGUGUAACUAAAAUAUAGCCAAGCCUUCCUGGGCAGCUCAGAUCUGGCCUCACCAAAUAGUGUUGUAUUACAAAAAGAAGGGAAAAAAAAAACCCAUAAAACUGAUUGAGAGAGGAUUACAGAAUAAUCUAUUAUGUUUCUUUGAAAUCAGGACAUGUUUUCAAAUGAUGGGGACUUGUAAUUUCUUCCUCCCUUCCUCCCUCCCUUCCUCCCUAUCUUCCUCCCUCCCUCCCUGCCUCCCUCCGUUCCUUCCUUCCUUCCUUCCUUCCUUCCUUCCUUCCUUCCUUCCUUUUUUCCUGGCACAUAAAAUAGUGAUGUACCUUGCCAUUGAUUGUAUCUUACAGGCAGUGGUGUCUUAGAUUAGAUGAAAUAUGGAAGAGUCUGUAUUGAGGCUUUCUUGAAGCUAUGAAAGAGUAAGUUAUACUUCAUGUACCUGAACUGAAAUAUCCUCUCCAAAUAGCCCACUCUUUCCCCCAAUUCUCCUCUGUAGUAAGCAUGGCAUGUUCCUCUUUUUCUCUCUAGCCUCUUCUUGCAGCCUGCCAGCCCUUGCCAGUCUCCUCCUAUCCCUCCUCUCUACCCUCUCUUUUUCUUUACUCUCCCCUUCCAGCUCUUCAGCCCAGCUCCCUCCAGGCCCUCAGAAUCUCCAUCUCUUUAUUUGAAUUUAGCCCUGUCUCUUUUGGCUUCUCCAUUUCCUCAGUAGUACCCACCAAGGAAAAUAAAAUAUCCUCCAAGGACUCUACCUUUCUAAAAGGUGAAGAGCAGGUAGGAAAUUAUAAAUACUUAACAUUUAACUUUUUGUGUGUGGUUUCAUAGAUUAUAACAAUAUCUACCUCCUGGGGCUUUUGUGAGGGUUAAAAGAGAUAGGGAGUGUAAACAUUUGGCAUGCUGCGGGCACAUGCUAAGAAUUCAAUCAAUGUUAGCUACCAUUACUUACUAUUGUUAUAGAAAUAAAUGUACAAUUAACAUUGUAAUAACACAGGAAAAGAAAGAAAGGGGAAAAAAAAGACCAAAGGAGAAAGAAUCACCCACUGUCUCAACACUGCAUAUUUUCCUAGUAGCAAUAUGGCGUGUGAAAUUUGAUUUUUAUGCUUUUCUGGUGACAGAGCAUUCUUAUGUAUGAAUCACAGUCCAUAAAGGGAGAUAUAAGAAUGAAAAGAAAGUAAUUGUGCAUUUUUAAUGCAUUUUAACAUGCAGCCUUCUGUGAUAUUUUUAGAUCACCACAGAGAGGAACUUACUGUUAUCUUCUUCCUGUAUCUAGCAUGAAUUUCUUUUUCUCUAGUAGAAGACCAUUUGACAGAAACUUUUUGAAAUUCAAAGGAAUGCUACUGCCUUCUAUUCUAAUGAAGUAUUUGAAGAGGGUUGUAAAAAAACUUUAAAAACUAAGAUAAUAAUUUAAAAUAUGCUUUCCUAUUUAUAGUCAUGGAAGAUAGGAGGUAAACUUUGCAGAGUUUAAAAUACAACUUGUGGGGGCAUGCAGGUGGUCAGUCAGUUAAACGUCUGACUCUUGAUCUCGGCUUAGGUCAUGAUCUCACAAUUUAUAAAAUUGAGCCCCACAUUGGUCUGUGCGCUGACAGCGUGAAGCCUGCUUGGGAUUCUCUCUCCCUCUUUCUCCGCCCCUCCCAGCUCCCGUGCACUCUCUCCCCCCCUCUCUCUCAAAUUAAAAAAUAAAUAAAUAAAUAAACCUAAAAAAAAAAUAAAAUGCAACCUGUGGUCUUGGUUGUCAUUUCACAUCACAUGAUUGGGAAUUGGAGAGACUGCCCCGAAGGCUGACAGCCUGCUAUAGACUAAACGGCGUCACCGCCCCCUCCCCCUGCACAACCACCCAAAUUCAUAGGUUGAAGCCCUAACCCGCAAUGUGAUAGUAUUUGGAGUUGGGGUCUUCAGGAGGUGUUUAGGGUUAGAUGAAGUCAUUAGGAUGGGGCCCUCAUAGUGGGAUAAGUGCCCUCAUAAAAAACACUGGAGAGAUCUCUCUUCCUAUGUGCACGGAAGGAAGAGAGCUGCAGUGGGAAGGCAGCUUCCUACAAGGCAAGAGUAGGAGCCUCUGGAUGAAACCUACCCUGCUGCACCUUGAUCUUGGACUUCCCAGCCUCCAUAAUUGGGAAAUAAAUUUCUGUUGUUUAGAACACCCAGUCAAUGGUAUUCUCUUUUGGCAGCCCAAGUAGUCUAAUAGUCUGGUAUCUUCCCAUAUUGGAGGUCAACAGGAAGGUUAACAGCAAGCUUUCUUAGGCCAGUUUCUCCAUGCAACAGGAAGUUUCCUAAAAGCAAUGUGAAAGUUGAGACAGUGUAAGAAGUAGAGAACAUAUGUGUAAUACUGCAAAAACGAAACCUAAGCUUGAUGAAACUCAAAAUUAAGAACUUUUAUUUUUAGAAAUUGCAACAUGGAACUUAACUGUUCCUUGAUUUUUUUUUUUUUUUUUUUUUUUUUGCUGGCUAACAUAUGGAGAUAAUGAGUUGAUACCAAAUGCAAGAGUAUUUUGCUGUCUCAACAGGUUUCACGCUGCUGUUUCGAUAGUGAACAAUCUGAUAGCUGCUGAGAGCCUACCCCAAGGCCCCCAUCAUUCUGUGAUACAGAAAAGAGUCCUUUGACUGUGUGCCUGGGGGAGGAUGCCAAUGAUCUAGGCCCAAAAGAUUUGCUCUGCCUUUAGGAAAACUGUGUUCUUCCUUAAAGGGCAAUUCUGAAUCCAGCUCUUUUUUUGCUCUGUGAGAGAAAGAGAAUAUAAAUAUUGUAAAUUUAGGAGCAAUUUCCUUGAGAGCCAUGUGACAGAAAAAAUUCGCUCUUCCCUCUCUCCAUUGUGCUGUAUAUUUAUAUUAUUCUCUCCCAUGUGGUGGGAGAAGAAAAUUUUACCUUUUAAAACAAGAACCAACUGCUGCCACCUUCCCAUUCUAGAAAAAUAUCUUAUUUUAUCUGAGGGGAAUACGUAGCUGGUCUUAGUGUUAAAGGUGAACACUCACGGGGCGCCUGGCUGGCUUAGUCAGUUUAGCAUCCAAUCCUUGAUCUCAGCUCAGGUCAUAAUCUCACGGUUUGUGAGAUCAAGCCCCAGGUGGGGCUCUGUGCAGACAGUGUGGAGCCUGCUUGGGAUUCUCUCCUUCUCUCUCUCUCUGCCCCUCCCCUGCUUGCACAUGUACGGGCACAUGAGCUCUCUCUCUCAAUAAAAAUUAAAAAAAAAAAAAAAGUGAGCACUCACUCAGAUCCAGGCCCAAAGCUCGG